UGGGGAAUAUUGCACAAUGGGCGCAAGCCUGAUGCAGCCAUGCCGCGUGUGUGAAGAAGGCCUUCGGGUUGUAAAGCACUUUCAGCGAGGAGGAAGGUGGUGAACUUAAUACGUUCAUCAAUUGACGUUACUCGCAGAAGAAGCACCGGCUAACUCCGUGCCAGCAGCCGCGGUAAUACGGAGGGUGCAAGCGUUAAUCGGAAUUACUGGGCGUAAAGCGCACGCAGGCGGUUUGUUAAGUCAGAUGUGAAAUCCCCGGGCUCAACCUGGGAACUGCAUUUGAAACUGGCAAGCUAGAGUCUCGUAGAGGGGGUAGAAUUCCAGGUGUAGCGGUGAAAUGCGUAGAGAUCUGGAGGAAUACCGGUGGCGAAGGCGGCCCCCUGGACGAAGACUGACGCUCAGGUGCGAAAGCGUGGGGAGCAAACAGGAUUAGAUACCCCUGGUAGUCCACGCUGUAAAACGAUGUCGAUUUUGGAGGUUGUGCCCUUGAGGCGUGGCUUCCGGAGCUAAC
RNAcentral lists this ribosomal RNA (511 nucleotides) under uncultured bacterium. RNAcentral's name for it is "partial 16S ribosomal RNA". It matches the Rfam family "Bacterial small subunit ribosomal RNA", at positions 355 to 856 of the family's 1533-position model. The record is from RNAcentral.